Bos taurus (domestic cattle) is the source of this 1742-nucleotide long non-coding RNA. Lineage: Eukaryota; Metazoa; Chordata; Mammalia; Artiodactyla; Bovidae. The record is from Ensembl.
UGGGCCAGGAAGAUACCCUGGAGGAGAUCAUGGCAACCCACUCCAGUAUUCUUGCCUGGAGAAUCCCCAUGGACAGAGGAGCCUGGAAGGCUAUAGUCCAUAGGGUCAUAGAGAGUUGGACAUGACCAAAGUGACUUAGCACGCAUGCAGGUUUGUUCUGUCUCUGCAGCUCUUAACUGUGCCUCUAGACAUCUUUCCUGACUGUUGUUCACCUGGAAGGUGUCCUUGCCAAAUGGGACUACAUUUGCUUUCUACACCUUCUUCCUCUGCCAAACAAGGACGCAGCUGCAAUCAAUAACAGACUGCUUCCAACUUCUGAUGCGAUGCAGGCUUCCAGAUGACAAGGGGCUUCAAAACCAAGCACCAUGAAGAAUAUUUAGAGCCCUUUAGUGGAGGAGAAAGCCUGUGUGCUGCUCAACAAUCAGAGACCUCCUAUCUCUUCCAACUCUUUCUCUGGCUGCAUUCCAGGAUCAUGGCUACACCUGGAGCCAAGGGCAGCUGGGAGAAGCGGCAGAGAACCGCAAACAGGAGCCUAUGCCAUCAGUGGGAUGCUUAGAAAAAUCACCUUGACUGCUGCUUCAGAGGAUCCUAUCCCUUUUGGGAUCUUCCCAACCCAGGGAUCGAACCUGCAUCUCCUGCUUAGCAGGCAGAUACUUUACCACUGAGCCACCUGGUAAAUAUACAUACUUUGCCUAAAUGACUCAUUUGAAACUGACCCUGAAGUAGCAGAGAAUUCCUGUCCUCAUCUGUGUGCCUAGGCUCUGACAAUUUAAAGCUAAUUCAAGUUUUCCUGGUGAAGCGAUCAUGUUGUUUGUGCAGCAGUCUUGAGAUCCCAGAGAAGACCAUCAGAUAAAUCCAUAUUAACGGACAUUCUGAAAAAUAUCUGCUCACAACUCCUCAAAAACUGUCAAGGUCAUCAAAAACAAGGGAAGUCUGAGAAACUGUCAUAGUCUAGAAGAGCCUUAGGAGACGUGAUAACUAAAUGAAAUGUGGUAUUUGGGGUGGGAUGCUGAGACAGAAAAAAGAUAUUAGGCAAACACUCAAGAAAUAAAAAUAAGUUAUGAAAAAUCAGUGAAUAAUAAUGUGCCCAUACUGGUUCAUUCGCUAUGAUAAGUGUAUCAUACUAUGUAAAUGUAUCAAGCUAACACAGGAUGUUAACAGCAGGGGAAACUGGGUUCAAGAUAUAAAGGAAUUCUCUGUCCUAUCUUUACAACUUGCUUAACUCUAAAAGUAUUCUAAAACAAGUUUUAAAAUGAGCUUUUAUAAAGAGGGAGUCCUUUUGAAAGGGACACUCAUCUCCAGGUGAAAACUAUGAGUCUCUGAUUUUUGUGCUGUUGUUGAGAGUACACACCUGGUCUUAAACCACUUUGGACAAGUUACUUAAUUCCUUGGAAGCUCCGUCUCCUUAUCUAUCUAUCGAAUGGGAGAAACCAUGUUGACCAAACAGACGCCUCCAGAGAAUCUAUGAGACAAGGUUCAAAAAUGCUACCACAGUGCCUACAAGUAGAACGUGUCCCCAGAAACAGCACAGGACCCUACAGGGCGUCCCCGGGACAGACCCCUCCCCAACAUUCUCUGCUGUAGGUCUUCUCUGAAGGACCUAGACAACAGUAUAUGAUGCACACAUCCUGAAUUGCUUUAUUGAUGCUAAAACCACCACCAACAGAAGAAAUUAACUACUUGAUGAUCAUGAGCAUGUAGCCCCCAGACCUGCUGGUGCCUCAGGAUAAAUAAUGUUAACU